RNAcentral lists this transfer RNA (75 nucleotides) under Bacillota bacterium. RNAcentral describes it as "tRNA-Thr". It matches the Rfam family "tRNA". From Rfam's summary of the family: Transfer RNA (tRNA) molecules are approximately 80 nucleotides in length. Their secondary structure includes four short double-helical elements and three loops (D, anti-codon, and T loops). RNAcentral also lists the same sequence under 1 other name. Lineage: Bacteria; Bacillati; Bacillota. The record is from RNAcentral.
GCCGACGUAGCUCAACGGUAGAGCAGCUGAUUUGUAAUCAGCAGGUUGGGGGUUCGAUUCCCUUCGUCGGCUCCA